RNAcentral lists this transfer RNA (85 nucleotides) under Halioglobus sp. Its description in RNAcentral is "tRNA-Leu". It matches the Rfam family "tRNA". Rfam says of the family: Transfer RNA (tRNA) molecules are approximately 80 nucleotides in length. Lineage: Bacteria; Pseudomonadati; Pseudomonadota; Gammaproteobacteria; Cellvibrionales; Halieaceae. The record is from RNAcentral. RNAcentral also lists the same sequence under 2 other names.
GCGGGAGUGGCGAAAUUGGUAUACGCGCUGGUUUUAGGUACCAGUGCCGCAAGGCGUGAGAGUUCGAGUCUCUCCUUCCGCACCA